This 465-nucleotide ribosomal RNA is filed under the name uncultured bacterium. RNAcentral describes it as "partial 16S ribosomal RNA". It matches the Rfam family "Bacterial small subunit ribosomal RNA", at positions 28 to 507 of the family's 1533-position model. The record is from RNAcentral.
GAUGAACGCUGGCGGCGUGCUUAACACAUGCAAGUCGAACAGAAAGGCUCCUGCUUGCAGGGGUACUCGAGUGGCGAACGGGUGAGUAACACGUGGGUGAUCUGCCCUGCACUUCGGGAUAAGCCUGGGAAACUGGGUCUAAUACCGGAUAGGACGAUGGUUUGGAUGCCAUUGUGGAAAGUUUUUCGGUGUGGGAUGAGCUCGCGGCCUAUCAGCUUGUUGGUGGGGUAAUGGCCUACCAAGGCGUCGACGGGUAGCCGGCCUGAGAGGGUGUACGGCCACAUUGGGACUGAGAUACGGCCCAGACUCCUACGGGAGGCAGCAGUGGGGAAUAUUGCACAAUGGGCGCAAGCCUGAUGCAGCGACGCCGCGUGGGGAAUGACGGCCUUCGGGUUGUAAACUCCUUUCGCUAGGGACGAAGCGCAAGUGACGGUACCUGGAGAAGAAGCACCGGCUAACUACGUG